Anas platyrhynchos (mallard) is the source of this 931-nucleotide non-coding RNA. Lineage: Eukaryota; Metazoa; Chordata; Aves; Anseriformes; Anatidae. The record is from RefSeq and is a predicted model, not a curated record.
AAUAAAGGCAAGCCAAGCCUGUUCCUCUGUGCUUGAGAGAAGACUCAAGUGCUGUAUUGCUAUCACCUGUGCUGAUGAGCACCUGAAAUGAGUUAAACCAUAUAGCACUGAGUUUCAGACGGUUUCUAAGAAAUUGCUCUUGUUGUAAGCACAGAAAUUCUCUGGCUGCGUGUUCUGCUGACUGCUGUGGAAUGUGUCUGCCCAAUUUCUGGGUGCGCUUCCCCCUUCACAUCUCCUCACCCCUGCCUGCUCCAACAGCCAGCCCUCCCCGUGACCACCACAGCACCAAGUCCUGGCUGUAUGACUGGGCUGAACAACAGGGCAGGUCCCGUGGUUUCUGUGGGAGUGAUCCUGUUAUUUCUCGGAUGGGAUCCGUCUCCAGUCCCUGCUCAAACUCGUGGUGGAGUCGAGGGAGAAGCGAGCAUUGAGGAAUCUCACUGAUAGUGCAGGCUAUGCUGUGAGUUAAGGCCAUAAUCUGCAGAGGAGUGGUUGCAGUUGUUUAUGCCAGUCCUUGGAGAAUGUGAGAAAUUAUAAAUGAAGAUUGCAGUCUGAUUUAUAUACGUAAUUUCUGUAAUGUAUUUCUGUGAUGGUGCAGAACUAAUUAUAGAUGACUAUAAAUACGCUAUCGUGACCCUUUUAAACAUUUAUUUUAUGGCUCUUGAGGAAGCAGUACUAAGUUUAGUAGGCUACGCUGAAUUAUUGACCUAACAAAUUAUAACCGUGGACUGCUGUAUGGUAUUGACAUAACAGAUUGUAAUGCCGUCUUUAGGAGUCAUUACAGAAUUUAAUUUGGGGCAUGUUGAACUUUGAGAUUUACCUUGGGCGGGAUGCUGGCUCUGUAAUGUGUGGGACAUAUGUUAACCUGUGUGUGCAGUGGACAAUUGUUGCAAUGUCUUCCAUAAAAGCCACAGAAAUUACUUAAUAAAUUCCA